UGGGGAAUAUUGCACAAUGGGCGCAAGCCUGAUGCAGCCAUGCCGCGUGUGUGAAGAAGGCCUUCGGGUUGUAAAGCACUUUCAGCGGGGAGGAAGGCGUUAAGGUUAAUAACCUUGGCGAUUGACGUUACCCGCAGAAGAAGCACCGGCUAACUCCGUGCCAGCAGCCGCGGUAAUACGGAGGGUGCAAGCGUUAAUCGGAAUUACUGGGCGUAAAGCGCACGCAGGCGGUCUGUCAAGUCGGAUGUGAAAUCCCCGGGCUUAACCUGGGAACUGCAUUCGAAACUGGCAGGCUAGAGUCUUGUAGAGGGGGGUAGAAUUCCAGGUGUAGCGGUGAAAUGCGUAGAGAUCUGGGGGAAUACCGGUGGCGAAGGCGGCCCCCUGGACAAAGACUGACGCUCAGGUGCGAAAGCGUGGGGAGCAAACAGG
RNAcentral lists this ribosomal RNA (429 nucleotides) under Chloroflexota bacterium. RNAcentral's name for it is "Chloroflexi bacterium partial 16S ribosomal RNA". It matches the Rfam family "Bacterial small subunit ribosomal RNA", at positions 355 to 776 of the family's 1533-position model. Lineage: Bacteria; Bacillati; Chloroflexota. The record is from RNAcentral.